Molecule: ribosomal RNA, 434 nt
Rfam family: Bacterial small subunit ribosomal RNA
ACGGAAGGCAGCAGUGGGGAAUAUUGCACAAUGGGCGCAAGCCUGAUGCAGCGACGCCGCGUGAGUGAAGAAGUAUUUCGGUAUGUAAAGCUCUAUCAGCAGGGAAGAUAAUGACAGUACCUGACUAAGAAGCUCCGGCUAAAUACGUGCCAGCAGCCGCGGUAAUACGUAUGGAGCAAGCGUUAUCCGGAUUUACUGGGUGUAAAGGGCGCGUAGGCGGGGAUGCAAGUCAGGUGUGAAAACUAUGGGCUUAACCCAUAAACUGCAUUUGAAACUGUAUCUCUUGAGUGCUGGAGAGGUAGACGGAAUUCCUUGUGUAGCGGUGAAAUGCGUAGAUAUAAGGAAGAACACCAGUGGCGAAGGCGGUCUACUGGACAGUAACUGACGCUGAGGCGCGAAAGCGUGGGGAGCAAACAGGAUUAGAUACCCUGGUA